This 400-nucleotide ribosomal RNA is filed under the name uncultured bacterium. RNAcentral's name for it is "bacterial SSU rRNA". It matches the Rfam family "Bacterial small subunit ribosomal RNA", at positions 356 to 773 of the family's 1533-position model. The record is from RNAcentral.
GGGGAAUAUUGGACAAUGGGCGCAAGCCUGAUCCAGCCAUGCCGCGUGAGUGAUGAAGGCCCUAGGGUUGUAAAGCUCUUUCACCGAUGAAGAUAAUGACGGUAGUCGGAGAAGAAGCCCCGGCUAACUUCGUGCCAGCAGCCGCGGUAAUACGAAGGGGGCUAGCGUUAUUCGGAAUUACUGGGCGUAAAGCGCACGUAGGCGGAUCGGUCAGUUAGGGGUGAAAUCCCAGGGCUCAACCCUGGAACUGCCUCUAAUACUGCUGGUCUAGAGUUCGAGAGAGGUGAGUGGAAUUCCGAGUGUAGAGGUGAAAUUCGUAGAUAUUCGGAGGAACACCAGUGGCGAAGGCGGCUCACUGGCUCGAUACUGACGCUGAGGUGUGAAAGCGUGGGGAGCAAAC